RNAcentral lists this ribosomal RNA (424 nucleotides) under uncultured Bacteroidota bacterium. Its description in RNAcentral is "bacterial SSU rRNA". It matches the Rfam family "Bacterial small subunit ribosomal RNA", at positions 355 to 776 of the family's 1533-position model. Lineage: Bacteria; Pseudomonadati; Bacteroidota. The record is from RNAcentral. RNAcentral also lists the same sequence under 1 other name.
UGAGGAAUAUUGGUCAAUGGGCGGAAGCCUGAACCAGCCAUGCCGCGUGAAGGAAUAAGGCCCUAUGGGUCGUAAACUUCUUUUGGCGGGGAGCAAUAAGGUCUACGUGUAGACCGAUGAGAGUACUCGUUGAAUAAGCAUCGGCUAACUCCGUGCCAGCAGCCGCGGUAAUACGGAGGAUGCGAGCGUUAUCCGGAUUUAUUGGGUUUAAAGGGUGCGUAGGCUGUUUGUCAAGUCAGAGGUGAAAGGCCGCAGCUCAACUGUGGAAUUGCCUUUGAUACUGGCAGGCUUGAAUACUGUUGCCGUGGGAGGAAUGAGUAGUGUAGCGGUGAAAUGCAUAGAUAUUACUCAGAACACCGAUUGCGAAGGCAUCUCACGAAGCAGAGAUUGACGCUGAGGCACGAAAGCGUGGGGAUCAAACAGG